Molecule: ribosomal RNA, 494 nt
Filed under: uncultured bacterium
Lineage: Bacteria
Description: partial 16S ribosomal RNA
Rfam family: Bacterial small subunit ribosomal RNA
Source: RNAcentral
GACGAACGCUGGCGGCGUGCUUAACACAUGCAAGUCGAACGGUGAAGCGCCUUCCUUUUUGGUGGGUGUGGAUGAGUGGCGAACGGGUGAUUAACACGUGAGUAACCUGUCCCCUUCUUCUGGAUAACCGCAUGAAAGUGUGGCUAAUACGGGAUAUUCUGGGUCUGUCGCAUGAUGGGUCUGGGAAAGAUAUUGUUUCGGUGGGGGAUGGGCUCGCGGCCUAUCAGCUUGUUGGUGGGGUGAUGGCCUACCAAGGCGGUGACGGGUAGCCGGCCUGAGAGGGUGGACGGUCACACUGGGACGGAGACACGGCCCAGACUCCUACGGGAGGCAGCAGUGGGGAAUAGUGCACAAUGGGCGCAAGCCUGAUGCAGCGACGCCGCGUGAGGGAUGGAGGCAUUCGGGUUGUGAACCUCUUUCGCCAGUGAAGCAGGCCUGCCUCGUUUGUGGGUGGGUUGACGGUAGCUGGAGAAGAAGCGCCGGCUAACUACGUG